GAUGAACGCUGGCGGCGUGCCUAACACAUGCAAGUCGAACGAGGCCCUUUGUAUUCGUACGAAGGUGUCCUAGUGGCGAACGGGUGAGUAACACGUUGGUGACCUGCCCCAAAGUGGGGGACAACUCCGGGAAACUGGAGCUAAUACCCCAUGUGUUCCAAGGAGUUAGAGGUCCUUGGAGGAAAGGAGUAAUCCGCUUUGGGAGGGGCCUGCGGCCCAUCAGCUAGUUGGUAGGGUAAUGGCCUACCAAGGCUACGACGGGUAGGGGACCUGAGAGGGUGGCCCCCCACACUGGCACUGAAACACGGGCCAGACACCUACGGGUGGCAGCAGUGGGGAAUAUUGCCCAAUGGACGAAAGUCUGAGGCAGCAACGCCGCGUGCGCGAUGAAGGCCUUCGGGUUGUAAAGCGCUUUUCUGGGGGAAGAGGAAGGACGGUACCCCAGGAAUAAGUCUCGGCUAGCUACGUGCCAGCAGCCGCGGUAAAACGUAGGAGGCGAGCGUUAUCCGGAUUUACUGGGCGUAAAGCGCGUGCAGGCGGUUUGGUAAGUCGGACGUGAAAGCUCCUGGCUCAACUAGGAGAGGCCGUUCGAUACUGCCAGACUUGAGGGCAGCAGAGGGAGGUGGAAUUCCGGGUGUAGCGGUGAAAUGCGUAGAUAUCCGGAGGAACACCAGUGGCGAAGGCGGCCUCCUGGACUGUCCCUGACGCUAAGACGCGAAAGCUAGGGUAGCAAACGGGAUUAGAAACCCCGGUAGUCCUAGCCGUAAACGAUGCAGACUUGGUGUUGGUGGUGUAAAAGCCAUCAGUGCCGUAGCUAACGCGAUAAGUCUGCCGCCUGGGGACUACGACCGCAAGGUUA
Molecule: ribosomal RNA, 859 nt
Filed under: uncultured Chloroflexota bacterium
Lineage: Bacteria; Bacillati; Chloroflexota
Description: bacterial SSU rRNA
Rfam family: Bacterial small subunit ribosomal RNA
Source: RNAcentral